RNAcentral lists this ribosomal RNA (548 nucleotides) under Penicillium raistrickii. RNAcentral describes it as "eukaryotic LSU rRNA". The stretch from base 216 to 369 matches the Rfam family "5.8S ribosomal RNA". The record is from RNAcentral. Lineage: Eukaryota; Fungi; Ascomycota; Eurotiomycetes; Eurotiales; Aspergillaceae.
CGUAACAAGGUUUCCGUAGGUGAACCUGCGGAAGGAUCAUUACUGAGUGAGGGCCCUCUGGGUCCAACCUCCCACCCGUGUUUAUUAUACCUUGUUGCUUCGGCGGGCCCGCCGUAAGGCCGCCGGGGGGCUUCUGCCCCCGGGCCCGCGCCCGCCGAAGACAUCUCGAACUCUGUCUGAAGAUUGUAGUCUGAGUAUAAAUAUAAAUUAUUUAAAACUUUCAACAACGGAUCUCUUGGUUCCGGCAUCGAUGAAGAACGCAGCGAAAUGCGAUACGUAAUGUGAAUUGCAGAAUUCAGUGAAUCAUCGAGUCUUUGAACGCACAUUGCGCCCUCUGGUAUUCCGGAGGGCAUGCCUGUCCGAGCGUCAUUGCUGCCCUCAAGCACGGCUUGUGUGUUGGGCCCCGUCCUCCGAUCCCGGGGGACGGGCCCGAAAGGCAGCGGCGGCACCGCGUCCGGUCCUCGAGCGUAUGGGGCUUUGUCACCCGCUCUGUAGGCCCGGCCGGCGCUUGCCGAUCAACCAAAUUUUUAUCCAGGUUGACCUCGGAU